GGCCUGUUUAGCUCAGUCAGGAGAGCACUCGCCCUGCAAUUGAGGUGUCCCGGGUUCGACUCCCGGACUGGCUG
RNAcentral lists this transfer RNA (74 nucleotides) under Dreissena polymorpha. RNAcentral describes it as "tRNA-Ala". It matches the Rfam family "tRNA". Rfam says of the family: Transfer RNA (tRNA) molecules are approximately 80 nucleotides in length. Their secondary structure includes four short double-helical elements and three loops (D, anti-codon, and T loops). Further hydrogen bonds mediate the characteristic L-shaped molecular structure. tRNAs have two regions of fundamental functional importance: the anti-codon, which is responsible for specific mRNA codon recognition, and the 3' end, to which the tRNAs corresponding amino acid is attached (by aminoacyl-tRNA synthetases). tRNAs cope with the degeneracy of the genetic code in two manners: having more than one tRNA (with a specific anti-codon) for a particular amino acid; and 'wobble' base-pairing, i.e. permitting non-standard base-pairing at the 3rd anti-codon position. The record is from RNAcentral. Lineage: Eukaryota; Metazoa; Mollusca; Bivalvia; Myida; Dreissenidae.